Long non-coding RNA from Oncorhynchus kisutch (coho salmon), 935 nucleotides. RefSeq lists it as uncharacterized. NCBI's taxonomy places the organism in Eukaryota, Metazoa, Chordata, Actinopteri, Salmoniformes, Salmonidae. The transcript has 3 exons. The record is from RefSeq and is a predicted model, not a curated record.
UGAGGAGAAUACGUCAUUGUAAAUUAGGGUGACCAGACGUCCCCGGAAGUGUCCCCGUUUUUAACAGUGCAUUAAAAACAGACUGCAAAGUGAAAUAAUAUUUGACGUGGCAAGAAAGACCGGGCAGCAGACCCUACCGGUUGACGUCUCAAUUGCGUUGUGCUUGUUUUGUCCAGCAGAGCGGGCUGCUCGCUAUAGCAGUUUCAUUCACUCUUCUACUAACUACUUGCUCGCUCUAGUUUUAGAGAAAACUGCUGUGGAAAACUCGGUCAGAACCUAACAAGUGUCAAGUGAAUCCACAACAUCACCACAAACGUAUUUUCAAGCCAGAUUGGAGAGGAAGGAGAAGAAGAAAUGAAGGGAGUAAAACGAGUGAAGCGAGGAGAGUGUAGAAGAGUGAGGUGGAAAGGUGAAGAGAAGGAAAGGAAGAAAGAGAAGGAAGACGGGUGAAGAAAAGAGGAGGAGAAAGAUUGGAGCAGAAGAAAAAGUUAAGAGAGUAAGAAGAGCAACCUCCCCUGCCAGGAGUUCACGGUGAAGCUGGCCAAAGAGAGCAAACCUGAAGAAGAUACAUUCUUCUGAGAAAUAUACAGAUUAGGUGGCUCCCCUUCCUGUUCGGGUGGCGCGCGGAGGUCGGUUGUAGUCACGGGCCAACUAGCUGCCACUGAUCCUUCCCCCCGCCCCUUGUCUGUUUAUUAGUUACACCUGUGUUUAGUUAUGUAUUAGUUAGGUUAAUUGGUUGGGCUUUAUUAGCCAGCCGGCCCGCCUGCUGGGUGUGUGGGAUUGUUUUAUGUGUACUCUUGUGCACUCUUGUGCACGCCUGUAAGUCACAGUUUUGUGUGUACGUGUGUUGUUCGGGACUGUUUCGUUCCCCUGUGUUUUGGGGCAUUUGUUUGAGUGGCGUCGUUUUCACCUGUGGUGAAUAAAGAAGUAUCGCU